Tigriopus californicus is the source of this 357-nucleotide long non-coding RNA. RefSeq lists it as uncharacterized. The transcript has 2 exons. Lineage: Eukaryota; Metazoa; Arthropoda; Copepoda; Harpacticoida; Harpacticidae. The record is from RefSeq and is a predicted model, not a curated record.
UUCAGGGAGGACGAAAGAAGAAAGGAUUUGGACUUGAGGGGACAAACGCAAAACAUUGAGCAUCUAACAGUCAAAAAUGCUCAAUUGGAGAGUGACCUUCAAUCAAAAAAUGAUAUCAUCAUUGAACUGCAGACCCAAUUGGAAAACUCCCAUCGAUUUGAGAGCUACUCUGUUUAUGAAUCUGUGGAUCAAGAUCAAGCUCAGCCCAAAGGAAGUCGCUGGUCUAAUUGUUGCCGGUGUGUCAAGUGCUCAAUAGUCAUUGCCAUCAUUCUGGCAAUGUCUUUAGCCUCAUUUGUUGUCAUUCCCUUAAAAGUGAUAUUUACUUCCUCUGAUAUGUAGCAUAAACACGGAAUCCAG